This 277-nucleotide long non-coding RNA is filed under the name Nicotiana benthamiana. Its description in RNAcentral is "long non-coding RNA (NBEN_LNC007756)". Lineage: Eukaryota; Viridiplantae; Streptophyta; Magnoliopsida; Solanales; Solanaceae. The record is from RNAcentral.
UUGAUUUAAGUAACAAACUGUUCCAUCAAUGGAGGAGACGUUUGAUGACCUGAUGAAGAAGUUGGGGGAUAGCUAUGACCCCAAGAAACGAAAGUCCUCUUCCUUAAAACUCCUGCUGCUACAAAACCAUCAAAGAAAUUCAAGACUACAUCUCCCAAGGUUGCACCUAGGGCUAGAACAACAAGAAGCAAAGUGACAGAAAGUGAAGCUGAGUUAAAGAGGGAACUGGAAGAAAGUAGGAAGAAAAGACUAGAGAAAGGAAAGGGGAAGUUUGGUG